This 497-nucleotide ribosomal RNA is filed under the name uncultured bacterium. RNAcentral describes it as "partial 16S ribosomal RNA". It matches the Rfam family "Bacterial small subunit ribosomal RNA", at positions 28 to 507 of the family's 1533-position model. The record is from RNAcentral.
GAUGAACGCUGGCGGCGUGCCUAAUACAUGCAAGUCGAGCGAACGGACGAGAAGCUUGCUUCUCUGAUGUUAGCGGCGGACGGGUGAGUAACACGUGGAUAACCUACCUAUAAGACUGGGAUAACUUCGGGAAACCGGAGCUAAUACCGGAUAAUAUUUUGAACCGCAUGGUUCAAAAGUGAAAGACGGUCUUGCUGUCACUUAUAGAUGGAUCCGCGCUGCAUUAGCUAGUUGGUAAGGUAACGGCUUACCAAGGCAACGAUGCAUAGCCGACCUGAGAGGGUGAUCGGGCACACUGGAACUGAGACACGGUCCAGACUCCUACGGGAGGCAGCAGUAGGGAAUCUUGCGCAAUGGGCGAAAGCCUGACGGAGCAACGCCGCGUGAGUGAAGAAGGUCUUCGGAUCGUAAAACUCUGUUAGUAGGGAAGAACAGAUGUGAAAGUAAAUGUGCACAUCUUGACGGUACCUAAUCAGAAAGCCACGGCUAACUACGUG